Molecule: ribosomal RNA, 225 nt
Filed under: uncultured Methylophilus sp.
Lineage: Bacteria; Pseudomonadati; Pseudomonadota; Betaproteobacteria; Nitrosomonadales; Methylophilaceae
Description: partial 16S ribosomal RNA
Rfam family: Bacterial small subunit ribosomal RNA
Source: RNAcentral
UGCGCAGGCGGUUUUGUAAGUCAGAUGUGAAAUCCCCGAGCUCAACUUGGGAACUGCGUUUGAAACUGCAAGACUAGAAUAUGUCAGAGGGGGGUAGAAUUCCACGUGUAGCGGUGAAAUGCGUAGAGAUGUGGAGGAAUACCAAUGGCGAAGGCAGCCCCCUGGGAUAAUAUUGACGCUCAAAUGCGAAAGCGUGGGGAUCAAACAGGAUUAGAUACCCCAGUA